RNAcentral lists this long non-coding RNA (471 nucleotides) under Anser brachyrhynchus (Pink-footed goose). Its description in RNAcentral is "lncRNA (ENSABRG00000022089.1)". Lineage: Eukaryota; Metazoa; Chordata; Aves; Anseriformes; Anatidae. The record is from RNAcentral.
AGUGCAGCCACCAAUGCCAGGAAAAAGGACGGGGUGUGCACACCUGCCUCGUAGUAGCAAAGUCACUCUGCUGCUAAAGCAACAGUGAGAGUUCCCUGUCCCAAAGUGUUCUGCCUAUUACUAGUUCUAUCCCUGCCCUGCCCACACAGCAACAUUCACAGCUAAUGGGAAGAAUGGGAAGUGACCUCGCUGUUUGCUUUGAUAAGAAAGAGCCUUGCUUUUAUUACCAGCUAAUCAAAUGAUGUCCAAGGGAUAGGAAGCAAAAUGUUUGUUUUUGAAAAAAGUUAGUGUUCGUGGUCUAAAAAAGCUACAUACAGAUUCCUGUUAACCAGCCAUUAGUAAGGAAGGUAAGUACCCCCCGUUACGUCCAAUCGUGUUGAUUAACGGUCGUGUACAUUCAGCGUGCAGCCAGUGUGCUUCAUGUAUCAGUUUUCUAUGGUUACCAGAAGCCGACAGAAUAAAGAAGUGCAG